CUUACUGCCGCGGGGACAGAGAAGAGACAGAGCCACGGUUAGCAUUCUGUGAAGUCUUUAAGAGAGACAGAAAUAUGCUCCUUUUACAUAUUAGAUGCUGGGAUAAGCUAAUUGCCGAAUCCAUCAACGUCGGUCUGCGACUGUUGUGAUGAGCUCCAACCAAAUCUACAGCCUGGUUUAGAGCUCUGCAACAACUUUAAUCCUUCUAAAGGCCUUGCAAAAAACGGGGCCUCUCCUAUCCUUAGGAGGUACAGAUGGCCAGCGUCAGGAAAGCAGUGUUAUCCAAAGGAAGAAGUCAAGGCAAAUGAUCCCAUUUCACAGGUCUCCUGGCACCUACAAGACACCGAAGCCUGGCCUUUCAACAGAUGGGGAGGCAGAGGCAGACAUGGUGCAGGGCCCAACCAGCAAGAGGAUGAAGUAUCUUUACAGCACAACUGGCUAAGAGGAAAAAAGUCUACAUUUAAAACAAAAUGAAACAAAAUAACAACCUCCUCACCCCACCUCUACCUUGCAGAAUUGUCCUGACAAAAAUGACCCACAGAAUUUAAAAGAAAAGUGAUGUUAUUGAAAUUACCACCAUAUGAGUUGCACUCUUUGGGACAUAUGUUUGCUCAGAUGUAGUCAACUUCAUUGUUCAGCCAUUGUGGAAACAAGGUGUGUUGGACUGAAUGUUUGUGUUCCCCUGAAGUUCAUAUGUUGAAGCCCUAACCCCCAAUGUGAUGCUAUAUGGAGGUGGGGACUUUAGGAGGUAAUUAUAUUCAGAUGAGAUCGUGAAGGUGGGGCUCCAUGAUGGGACUAGUGUCCUUACAGGAAGACAAAGAGACCAGAGCUCUCUCUCUGCCAAAUGAGGACACAGUAAGAAGAUAGCUGUCUGCAAGCCACGAAGAGGUCCUUCAUCAGAAUCCGACCAGUCUGGCACCAGGGUCUCACAUGUGCAGGCUCCAGACCUGAGAGAAAGAGAUUUCUUGCUGUUUAAGCCACCUAGUUGAUGACACUUUGUUAUGGCAGCCCGAGCUGACUAAAACAUAAGGUACUGAGGGUAAGAAAGCACAGUGUGGGCUCAUGGAAACCUAACAUGUUGAGCAUUGUGCUACAAUUCCAAGGACUCAUGGAACGUCCAGCGACCUCAGGAGCAGAUGCAUAUUUCUCAACCAGACACAUUAAGAAUAUGGGUUCUAGGGACUUCCCUGUUGGCACAGUGGUUAUGCCUGCCAAUGCAGGGGACACGAGUUCGAGCCCUGGUCCAGGAAGAUCCCACAUGCCGUGAAGCAACUAAGCCCAUGUGCCACAACUACUGAGCCUGCACUCUAGAGCCCACGGGCCACAACUACUGAGCCUACGUGCCACAAUUACUGAAGCCCACACGCCUAGAGCCCGUGCUCCCGAGCUCCACAACGAGAAGCCACCACGAUGAGAAGCCCACGCACCACAACAAAGAGUAGCGCUUGCUUGUCGCAACUAGAGAAAACCCGCACACAGCAACGAAGACCCAAUGCAGCCAAAAAUAAAUUUAUUAAAAAAAAAAAAAGAAUAUGGGUUCUAGAUUGGACCGCCAGAGUUCAAUCCUGCCUCUUCCACUGUCUGUCUAGAUCUGCAAAUGGAGUAAAAAAAUUACAUCAGAGGGACUUCCCUGGUGGUCCAGUGGUAAAGAAUACGCCUUACAACGCAGGGGACGCAGGUUCGAUCCCUGGUCGGGGAACUAAGAUCCCACAUGCCACGGGGCAACCACGCACCACAACUACUGAGCUCGCGUGCCUCAACUAGAGCCCACGUCCCGCAAACUACAGAGCCCACGUGCCACAACGAGAGAGAGAAAACCCGCACGCCACAACUAGAGAGAAGCCUGCACACCACAACUAAGAGCCCGCGUGCCACAACUAAGACGCGACGCAGCCAAAAAUAAAUUAAAUAAAUAAUAAAUAAAUCUUUUUCUUAAAAAAGAGAAAAAUUACAUUGGAGAGUAAGAUAUGUACCUGCCCACAGAUACUCAUUCUUCAGAAUCAUGAGAGUUCUUUGACUCGUGGAAACCACAAGUUAAAGAGUACAUUUCAGAUCCAACGAACUUAUUUAGAAACCUGAUCACCUCUGCUGCCUGAAAUAGGGAUAGUCUUGGAAGAAAAAACUAAUUAUCUGUAACAAGAUUGUAAAAGGGGAUCUUGAAGGAGAAAAUGGCUAAAGGGACUAGACAGAUUCCUAUAGGUUCUUGUUAUAAUUGAAACUCUAAAUUCUAUGAAGUUGAAUUAAAAAGCAAUAGAAGUUCAACUUUCCAGAACCUGGCCUGUUACCAACUUCCUUUGGUAUAAGAAAGGUUCUAUUUUUAUUUUUUUAGGAGAAAAGGGUAAAAUGGCAAGAGACGUAAUUGUGGGGAAAGUAAUUAAUCAUUCUCUUAAAUAUUAAAAAAAAAGAGGAAAAAAUUCCAAACAUUAACCCAUCUUUCAGUUCACUUUCCUAUAUGCUAAUCACUGAUGUUCAUAAUGAUUGCAGGCCUAGCAAAAGCCCUGAGGAUCAUAGGAAGAUUAAAUUUUACUCAUUAGACUGUAGCUAACAAGGCAGAAGAAUGUCCUUAUAUAUGUAACAAUGAUUUCCAAUAAUUUGCUCUGUGACCUUGGAAAAUUCACUUAACUGCUCUGGAGAAGCCCGCACACCGCAACGAAGACCCAACGCGGCCAAAAAUAAAUAAAAUUAAAUCUUAAAAAAAUAAAAUAAAAUGGUGGGAGAAUUCCAGAGGAGAUUUGGUUGAAGCAUUUCCAAGACUCAGAAAGAAAUAGUCUGUAACUCACAGAACUUGCCCAAAUCAAUCUGCAUCAGAAAAAUAAGUGUAGUGGUAUGAUUUUUUUUAAGAACAAAAUAAAAUACCUGAUAUAAUUCAUUAAUGCCCCAGAAAACAACAGAACAAAAUAAAAAUCAUAAGUAAGCAAAGCUCAUGCUUAUGGAAAAUGCUUUUGUUAGAUUGACAGAGUUUGUUUUUUGAUCAGUAGGUUUUUUCUUACUGUACUUAUUUUGAUGGGAGGUAACUGUGGUGGAUAGAGAAAUAACAGCUUGAAGUUUAUAUUGGCAACCUAAAUUAUCUCUCCUUAAAGGUGUUAAAAUGUUAUUCAUAUGAAUAAAUUUUAAAUUUAGACCUUCAGAGAUAAUUUUGACUGCUAAUUUGAAUCUUUUAGCUAAUCCUACAUACAUGGCAUAGAAAUUCUAUUAUUUUCUGCUUCUCAUAGCAGCUUGGAAACUGCACAACCUACUUGAGCAUUCUUUAGUCUUUAACAAGUAAGACUGGGAAUUGUGGAAUAAUCAGUAAUGGUUAUCUGCCUUUUCCUAUUUAAGAACAAUAAUGGUGCUCACUCAUCCUGAACAAGGGCAUUAAUUAAUCAUUGUAGCUAUGCAGGUUGAAGUCCCAAUGUUAUCAUCAUUGAAGCAUAACAGUAAUAUAAACUCCUGCUUAAGUGCUUUUGUUCUGUGAAAUAAAUCUUUGCAUUACAACCGUUCCUAAUCAUUUA
Long non-coding RNA from Balaenoptera acutorostrata (minke whale), 3491 nucleotides. RefSeq lists it as uncharacterized. The transcript has 4 exons. NCBI's taxonomy places the organism in Eukaryota, Metazoa, Chordata, Mammalia, Artiodactyla, Balaenopteridae. The record is from RefSeq and is a predicted model, not a curated record.